AAGAGAGUGAACAAAAACAAAAAAACAGUUUGCAAAAAUAAAUACACAAUAUAAAUACCAGACAUACUAAUCAAUACUGGUUUACCUGGCUACUACUUUCCUCUCAUUCCUGAUGUCUGUCAUCCUGUUACUCCUCUUCCCCGAGU
This is a long non-coding RNA of Thalassophryne amazonica, 146 nucleotides long. RefSeq lists it as uncharacterized. Lineage: Eukaryota; Metazoa; Chordata; Actinopteri; Batrachoidiformes; Batrachoididae. The record is from RefSeq and is a predicted model, not a curated record. The transcript is spliced from 3 exons.